UCUUCUCCAGGUGGAGUACAGCCAGCGCUGCAGCCAGGGGAGAUGCAGCGCUCUAUGUGCCUUUGCAAGCGUGGACGUGAGUAAGUUGCAACGCUGUAAACCCACCCAGCGCUGCAAGUCUCCAGUG
This is a non-coding RNA of Chelonoidis abingdonii (Abingdon island giant tortoise), 127 nucleotides long. Lineage: Eukaryota; Metazoa; Chordata; Testudines; Testudinidae. The record is from RefSeq and is a predicted model, not a curated record.